CAGUAUCUUCGACAGCCCAGCCACAGACAACCGAAGAUCCGAUACUUGAGGAUUGUGCGGCAUACCAUGCGGCAGGACAGAACACCAGUGGAGUCUACACCCUCAAUGUGUCAUCCACCAGUGUGGAGGCGUACUGUGACAUGGAUAACGAAGGAGGCGGGUGGACCGUGAUCCAGCGGCGGCGGGACGGGUCGGUUCCCUUUAACCGGAACUGGGAGGAGUACAAACAGGGCUUUGGGAACAAGAACGGAGAAUACUGGCUGGGGAACGACAACAUCCACCUCCUGACCACACGGAAAAACUACAAAUUAAAAAUUGUCCUGGAGGACUGGUAUGGCGCCACGAGGUUCGCAGAGUACA
Long non-coding RNA from Branchiostoma floridae (Florida lancelet), 360 nucleotides. RefSeq lists it as uncharacterized. The transcript has 3 exons. The record is from RefSeq and is a predicted model, not a curated record. Lineage: Eukaryota; Metazoa; Chordata; Leptocardii; Amphioxiformes; Branchiostomatidae.